This is a long non-coding RNA of Micropterus dolomieu (smallmouth bass), 1226 nucleotides long. RefSeq lists it as uncharacterized. The record is from RefSeq and is a predicted model, not a curated record. The transcript has 3 exons. NCBI's taxonomy places the organism in Eukaryota, Metazoa, Chordata, Actinopteri, Centrarchiformes, Centrarchidae.
CAGAUUUACUGCUUGUUGCUGCCACCUGUUGGACAGUAGAUGAGCAGGAGAAUACGGAGCCCCUGAAGGGUCAUAGCGAGGAUGUUUUUGAGGAUUAUUUUUUCAUUACCUCACAACAUGUUUUGUCCUUUCUGGUAAUCCUUUUCUUCUUGUGACCCUUCCCGAGCCGUAGCCGCCUGUUUCCGCUCAGCUGCUCCCAGCGACCCAGUGUGGAUCAGCUCAUCGAAUCUGACUUUGAACCGGGCGUUACCUACGGUGAUAUAGCGCUACUGCUCAACAGUUAGGAAGCGGAAGCAGUUAUUGAUCAGUGCAUCAGUGCAGUGGGCCCUGGGUUCCCCCUGCUGCAGGGGGCCACACAUUACAGACUGCCCUGGAGCUCACAGAUGCCCUGAGCCAGGUCUGGCAGGAGAUCCCCCAGGACACCACCCACCAUCUCAUCAGGAACCCCGACAGGCAGGUCUUCCAGCUCUGAGUGAACUCCAGAUAUCAGGGCCUAUCACAAUGUGUUCGGGUUCAUCAGCUACUCCCUUUCCAGCAGCAGUGGACUCUGUGGACUCAUUUGAUCUGCCUCUCUGUCAAGGUUACAACUCUGGACCAAGAUGGAAAGCAAUGGACCGACACUGACUGUUGAUUAAAUAUUGAAUUUAAAAUGUUGAUUAGCUGGCAGACUGGCCGAUAUGCAUCUCUCAGUAAAUAAUAAGUAUUCAGCCAAGCCGGAGUGAUAAUAGUAUUUUAAAUUUACAAAGUGUAUAAAAGUGUCAAUGUUGGUCACGUGAGUUUUGGACCCAAACACAAAGGCAGAGAUUCAGUUUGUGAAGUUUAAAUGAACAAAAACAAGAUUCCCUAACUUACAUGUAGCAAAGUCCAAAACAAGGUUUAACUCUAUGAAUGAAAGGUCCAAGCAGAACAGAUUGAGCCCAAAAAUUCAGAACACUAACAGAAGCUUCAACAAGCAACUCUAACCAGACAGAGUCUGAACAGAACAUUUAUACACAGGCAAACGAGCAGGUAGGGAGCACGCACAGGUGAGACACAUCAGAGGUAAUGCUAAAGCAGUCCUCAAAAAUGUUCUCGCCGUGACCCUUCAGGGGCUCCGUAGUACAAAGAGAGAAGUUUCAUCAAGUCUUUCCAGUGCCCUUCCGGUCCUGUUUUCCUUCCUUCAGUGUCCGUCCGUUCCUCAUCACUUCCCCGCAGUACAACAUGUUGAUCACCCAGAUUACAGGUGU